UACGUAGGGCGCAAGCGUUAUCCGGAAUUAUUGGGCGUAAAGAGCUCGUAGGCGGUUUGUCGCGUCUGCCGUGAAAGUCCGGGGCUCAACUCCGGAUCUGCGGUGGGUACGGGCAGACUAGAGUGAUGUAGGGGAGACUGGAAUUCCUGGUGUAGCGGUGAAAUGCGCAGAUAUCAGGAGGAACACCGGUGGCGAAGGCGGUUCUCUGGGCCGUAACUGACGCUGAGGAGCGAAAGCGUGGGGAGCGAACAGG
RNAcentral lists this ribosomal RNA (253 nucleotides) under uncultured bacterium. Its description in RNAcentral is "partial 16S ribosomal RNA". It matches the Rfam family "Bacterial small subunit ribosomal RNA", at positions 524 to 776 of the family's 1533-position model. The record is from RNAcentral.